GGCAAGUCCGAGCGGACAGAAGGGAGCUUGCUCCCGGAUGUUAGCGGCGGACGGGUGAGUAACACGUGGGUAACCUGCCUGUAAGACUGGGAUAACUCCGGGAAACCGGAGCUAAUACCGGAUAGUUCCUUGAACCGCAUGGUUCAAGGAUGAAAGACGGUUUCGGCUGUCACUUACAGAUGGACCCGCGGCGCAUUAGCUAGUUGGUGAGGUAACGGCUCACCAAGGCGACGAUGCGUAGCCGACCUGAGAGGGUGAUCGGCCACACUGGGACUGAGACACGGCCCAGACUCCUACGGGAGGCAGCAGUAGGGAAUCUUCCGCAAUGGACGAAAGUCUGACGGAGCAACGCCGCGUGAGUGAUGAAGGUUUUCGGAUCGUAAAGCUCUGUUGUUAGGGAAGAACAAGUGCAAGAGUAACUGCUUGCACCUUGACGGUACCUAACCAGAAAGCCACGGCUAACUACGUGCCAGCAGCCGCGGUAAUACGUAGGUGGCAAGCGUUGUCCGGAAUUAUUGGGCGUAAAGGGCUCGCAGGCGGUUUCUUAAGUCUGAUGUGAAAGCCCCCGGCUCAACCGGGGAGGGUCAUUGGAAACUGGGAAACUUGAGUGCAGAAGAGGAGAGUGGAAUUCCACGUGUAGCGGUGAAAUGCGUAGAGAUGUGGAGGAACACCAGUGGCGAAGGCGACUCUCUGGUCUGUAACUGACGCUGAGGAGCGAAAGCGUGGGGAGCGAACAGGAUUAGAUACCUUUGAAUAGUCC
This 760-nucleotide ribosomal RNA is filed under the name Bacillus pumilus. RNAcentral's name for it is "bacterial SSU rRNA". It matches the Rfam family "Bacterial small subunit ribosomal RNA", at positions 56 to 796 of the family's 1533-position model. Lineage: Bacteria; Bacillati; Bacillota; Bacilli; Caryophanales; Bacillaceae. The record is from RNAcentral.